UAGCAGGCAUAAUUCAUGAUUCCCUGCUAAGUUAACCCAAAAUUAGUUUCCAUCAUCGUCAUCAAACAUCAAAAUCAUCAUCCAUUAGUAAACUCUCACUUUCCCAGUUUCACACCUCUUUCCCAGAAUCCUAUUACUGCUUACCAUUUCUUGAUUUUCUUCUCCCACUACUCUUUUUUGGGAUUCUACUUCUGCUACCUUCACUACCAGUACAAUCUACUAUUACUGGGUCUUUCUUCAAUUGCUCAGAGUCCAACCCAAAAUUAACCAGAAGGAAAAAACGAAAAAAGGAGUGGUUUGAAAGAGCGCUUGAUUUUUUUUCAGGACCCACAUGGGAGAGGAUUCCAAUCCGUAAAUUUUGUGUUUGUGGAGUUAUCAUCCGGUCUGAUCUGGAUUAUAGGAGGAGAGAGUAAAGAUGUCAAGACCAAUGUUGCUUGUGUUUCUGUUGCUUAUUUUGAUAAUUACAUCCCAAUUUGAAUGGAGAGAACAAGUAAAGAGUGAGGUUGAGUUGAGUCCAAAUAUAUCGCAGAAGCAGCAGCAGAUUUCAAAAAGGGAAGAAGCUGUAAAAGAGAAGAUUAUCUUAUCUCAGGAGAAGAGCAUUCAGAAACUUAAUGAGCUUGUGAGAAGUCUUAGGGAACAACUGCGACAGUGCACGAGUACUAAUGAGACUACAAAUGGCAGUCUAAGUUCAUUGAAUGAGAAUGUUAUUGAAUUUGACUGACACACGAUUCUGGAGGAUUAGGCACUGGCUUCUGAAGAAUAUCAGCAUGUAUUAUUUGUGCAAUAGUUAUUGAAAUCUGUUUCUGUUUCCCCACUAAUUUUUACACUUGCAAACUCUGUCAUGAUAAUCAAACAUGUGGUCUCAUCUCUAACUGUUCUUUGUUGAUAAUUGCAGUAGGUCAUUAGCUAUUUAAGUGUAAUGGAUUGCACCAUCAAGAUGGCAUCAUCUUUGUCCUUGCGAAAUUUCCUAUUCGCUUUGACAGCAAACCCUGAAUCAUCAGAACAAAUUAGGUACUUUAGAAUGCACGAACAUGAGAUCGGUGAUUCUUUCAAGACUGUUGGAUGCAUCACUCUUGUUUUGUGGGCAAAUUAGGAAGUUAUGUUUUGUAAUUGCUACAUGAGGAUGGAAUGUGAGAGGAAGAACUUCAAAUU
Coffea eugenioides is the source of this 1152-nucleotide long non-coding RNA. RefSeq lists it as uncharacterized. The record is from RefSeq and is a predicted model, not a curated record. The transcript has 3 exons. Lineage: Eukaryota; Viridiplantae; Streptophyta; Magnoliopsida; Gentianales; Rubiaceae.